Molecule: long non-coding RNA, 2757 nt
Organism: Zea mays
Lineage: Eukaryota; Viridiplantae; Streptophyta; Magnoliopsida; Poales; Poaceae
Exons: 9
Source: RefSeq, a predicted model, not a curated record
UGGCAGAAAUAACUAUGCCUGAACCUUAAAUUGUCAUAUGAUUUUUGAUGUCUUUGGGGAAUUUGUUCUGAAAAAAAUAUAGUUGUCCCCCUCGUGUAUUUUCUUGACAGAGAAAAACAGAUGAGCAGCGGAUCUGGAGAACAAGCAAAAACAGGAUAUCAUGGAGUUGAGGAAUCGACUCACUGAAUUGAAGAGAAAAACUGCCGUAGACAAGACAGAGGUCGAGCAGGCAUCGAGUGAUCUUAAGGCAAAAACUGUGCCAUUGAAUUUGGCUCUUGUCACGCUAAAAAAGAGACGAGCUGAUGCAGUGGCCAUGCACACCAAUGCCAUGAAAGUUGCUCAGAUGAAUCUCAUGGCAACCACCUCAGAUUGUAUGAAAAUGCAAUCAAAAUCUGUAAAGCAACUUUGCAGAUUGUUCCCAAUGCGACGAGUAAGUUUCUACAUGCAUAUAUACUCUUGUGAAGUUGUGAUCCAGGGUUGACGUCCUCACCUGUCAAGAUUCAACUUAGAUCAUAUUUGGAGAAUGUUGUUUGGGAUAGUUUGCGACAGUUUUCCAUGUUAACGUCAUAAGUUAAUUGUAUUAUAUCACUACUACUCAUUGUUUUUAGCAGGCGUAACGGGAUUUUAAAAGGUCAAACUUCAUAAAUUUUGACCAACAAUUAGUCAAACCAUAGGGAUGCUUAAUGAAGGUCUUAACUCUUUGCCGAUUUGCAAUUAAUGGUGUCUCUCCAAAUCCCUGUAAAGUGUCGCAGUCUGUGUUUAAUGAAGGUUCUUUGUGUUCUGCAGCGGGGGUGAAUCAUCUUCAUAUGCUCUUUCUUCCUGAGUUAUUUGUUUUUCUUGGGAUUGGCUGUCUUAUCUUUCCUGGUGUGUGAGUUCUGAGUUGUAACUGUGAGGCAGUUAGGCCUUAGGGCAUGCAUAAGAACACCCUUUUUCUUCUUCAUUAAUGAAAUGAUAUACAUGGUUUCCUGCAUGUUCACCAAAAAAACUUAUGGGUGUUUAAUGUAUAAAAGUUAUAUGAAUAGAUUUGUGUUUCACACUGUUAGUAUGACAUUGAUUUUGUAUCAGCUGAAGAUAUUUUAGUGGUCAAAGUAUCCCUCUAAAGACUUUCUCAAAUCCUAAUACACUUACUAAAUACAAACAGUGGGAGUGCCUAAAAUGAGGGUGUGUCUUUAAUUAUCUUUUGAUAUUCUUUAAUCUUUACUACUAUUAAGGCUGUAAGGGGUAGGCUGCCUCCUUGUGUUCUGCCUUUUCUUCAUUUCCUGUUUUGCCCUCCUGCCCGCGCACCUCACCUGCCCGCGUCACCUCCUCCCCUGUCCUCCGCGCGCGUUGGGCGGGCAGCCAACUCCCCCACCAAAGCCUAAUCACUCCGGCGCCGUGCCGCGCCGCGCGGACCUGCCUCGAUCCGCUCCAGCGGCCGCCCGCCGAGGCGACUGUGCGGUGGUUGCGCUUGCGCUUUCACGCGCAGGUCUCCGUGGGUCUCUACGCGCAGCAGGACCCGUCCACGGCGGCGAGGCGCGGGCUUCAAGGCGGGCGCAGGCGGAGGGGCAGAAUUGCUCGGGCGAUGACACGGAGGCUCGCGGCCACGGCUUCGCAUCCGAGGCCGUGAAUGGGAGUGGCGGAGCGCUGCGGGCGGCGGCUGCGUACAUGGAGGCUGGGGCACCGCCCCUGAUUUGGAUGAUUUUGGAUCUGGUUCUCACGUGCAUCUGAGCUUGUGGGAGAACGAUCAGAAUGUUUUUAUGGGGUCAAGUAAAGAUAACUUUCAUGGAAUGUCAAAAACUGGAGAACAGUUCCUUGCUGGAGUGUAUCAUCACCUUCCGUCAAUAUUGGCAUUUACCGCUCCUCACCCAAACAGCUACGACCGGAUUCAGCCAGAUACUUGGAGUGGAGCUUAUCUAUGCUGGGGGAAAGAGAACAAGGAGGCUCCAUUAAGAACCGCAUGCCCACCUGGUGUGCCUCUUGAUUUAGUCAGCAACUUCGAGAUCAAAUCCUUCGAUGGUUGCGCAAAUCCGCACUUGGGUCUUGCUGCUAUCGUAGCUGCUGGCAUCGAUGGGCUAAGAAGACACCUUACCUGAGCCAAUUGAAUCAAACCCUUCUGAUCACUCUUCAAAACUGAAAAGGCUACCGCAGAACCUGCAGGAAUCUGUAGAAUCACUUUCUGCAGAUAAGGUUUUGCAUGAGUUAAUUGGUGAUAAACUUGUCACAACUGCUAUAGUUAUACGGAAGGUGGCUGAGGGACCCAGGAGUUGUGGGGCGUCAAAGAUAAUCGGCAUGGAAUUUAGUAGUUUAUAACAGUGCCUGAAGGAGCUAGGAUUUAUGAAUCAUUCUCCACCACCUUGAGGUUUGGUUGACAUGAACAAACCUCCUGAAAUGAUAUCUGGCAAUAUGAAGGUAGGUAGGUGGAUUACUAGGGAUUGUCUCAAAGUGCCUAUUUGACGGGUCACAUCAAACUGUCGUUGAUGCUUAUGUUUUUAUGCAACCAUGUGUGUGUAUUCUGAAUUGUUUGUGAGGUUUUCAUGGAUGGUACAUCCCCGAAAUAAUUGUAGCAGAAGGAAGCAGAUUUAUAGGUCAGCAAACUCGUUUGAAAGAAAAAGACCUAGAAAGGGAACUCUUGGCCAAGCUUUUGGUGUACUUGUGCACAGCUCAAGAGCACUUGCUGAGCCAGAGGCAGCUACUCCAGGGGUAUGGUCCAUAUAUUUUGUACAUAACCGAACUUUUUUCAAUAGUUGGUGACUUGGUUCCAAUGUUCUGUUUUCAAUA